AGAGUUUGAUCAUGGCUCAGGAUGAACGCUAGCUACAGGCUUAACACAUGCAAGUCGAGGGGCAGCAUGUUGGUUGCUUGCAACCAACGAUGGCGACCGGCGCACGGGUGAGUAACGCGUAUCCAACCUACCCUUGUCCAUCGGAUAACCCGUCGAAAGGCGGCCUAACACGAUAUGCGGUUCACAGCAGGCAUCUAACGUGAACGAAAUGUAAAGGAGAAGGAUGGGGAUGCGUCUGAUUAGCUUGUUGGCGGGGUAACGGCCACCAAGGCUACGAUCGAGUAGGGGUUCUGAGAGGAAGUCCCCCANAUUGGAACUGAGACACGGUCCAAACUCCUACGGGAGCA
Molecule: ribosomal RNA, 347 nt
Filed under: uncultured bacterium
Lineage: Bacteria
Description: bacterial SSU rRNA
Rfam family: Bacterial small subunit ribosomal RNA
Source: RNAcentral